Pteropus alecto (black flying fox) is the source of this 74-nucleotide non-coding RNA. The record is from Rfam. Lineage: Eukaryota; Metazoa; Chordata; Mammalia; Chiroptera; Pteropodidae.
GGCUCCAUAGUGUAGUGGUUUGCACGUCUGCUUUACACUCAGAUGAUCCAGGGUUCGUGCCCCAGGUGGAGCCA